CCUACGGGGUGCAGCAGUGAGGAAUAUUGGUCAAUGGGCUUACGCCUGAACCAGCCAAGUCGCGUGAGGGAAGACUGCCCUAUGGGUUGUAAACUUCUUUUAUAUGGGAAUAAAACAGGGUAUGCAUACCCUCUUGUAUGUACCAUAUGAAUAAGGAUCGGCUAACUCCGUGCCAGCAGCCGCGGUAAUACGGAGGAUGCGAGCGUUAUCCGGAUUUAUUGGGUUUAAAGGGUGCGUAGGCGGAAUGCCAAGUCAGCGGUAAAAUCGCGGGGCUCAACCUCGCUCCGCCGUUGAAACUGGCGUUCUUGAGUGGGCGAGAAGUAUGCGGAAUGCGUGGUGUAGCGGUGAAAUGCAUAGAUAUCACGCAGAACUCCGAUUGCGAAGGCAGCAUACCGGCGCCCAACUGACGCUGAAGCACGAAAGCGUGGGUAUCGAACAGGAUUAGAUACCCCGGUAGUC
This 459-nucleotide ribosomal RNA is filed under the name uncultured bacterium. RNAcentral's name for it is "partial 16S ribosomal RNA". It matches the Rfam family "Bacterial small subunit ribosomal RNA", at positions 338 to 795 of the family's 1533-position model. The record is from RNAcentral.